RNAcentral lists this ribosomal RNA (253 nucleotides) under uncultured bacterium. Its description in RNAcentral is "partial 16S ribosomal RNA". It matches the Rfam family "Bacterial small subunit ribosomal RNA", at positions 1240 to 1500 of the family's 1533-position model. The record is from RNAcentral.
CAGAGGGCAGCUACCCAGCAAUGGGAUGCGAAUCUCGAAAGCCUGUCUCAGUUCGGAUUGGAGGCUGAAACCCGCCUCCAUGAAGUUGGAUUCGCUAGUAAUCGCGCAUCAGCCAUGGCGCGGUGAAUACGUUCCCGGGCCUUGUACACACCGCCCGUCAAGCCAUGGGAGCCGGGGGGUGCCUGAAGUUCGUGACCGCAAGGAGCGACCUAGGGCAAAACUGGUGACUGGGGCUAAGUCGUAACAAGGUACC